RNAcentral lists this ribosomal RNA (468 nucleotides) under uncultured bacterium. RNAcentral's name for it is "partial 16S ribosomal RNA". It matches the Rfam family "Bacterial small subunit ribosomal RNA", at positions 28 to 507 of the family's 1533-position model. The record is from RNAcentral.
GACGAACGCUGGCGGCGUGCUUAACACAUGCAAGUCGAACGGAAAGGCCCUGCUUUUGUGGGGUGCUCGAGUGGCGAACGGGUGAGUAACACGUGAGUAACCUGCCCUUGACUUUGGGAUAACUUCAGGAAACUGGGGCUAAUACCGGAUAGGAGCUCCUGCUGCAUGGUGGGGGUGGGAAAUUUUCGGGGGUGGGGGAUGGACUGGCGGCUUUUCAGCUUGUUGGUGGGGUAGUGGCUUACCAAGGCUUUGACGGGUAGCCGGCCUGAGAGGGUGACCGGCCACAUUGGGACUGAGAUACGGCCCAGACUCCUACGGGAGGCAGCAGUGGGGAAUAUUGCACAAUGGGCGGAAGCCUGAUGCAGCAACGCCGCGUGCGGGAUGACGGCCUUCGGGUUGUAAACCGCUUUCGCCUGUGACGAAGCGUGAGUGACGGUAAUGGGUAAAGAAGCACCGGCUAACUACGUG